GGGGAAUUUUCCGCAAUGGGCGAAAGCCUGACGGAGCAAGACCGCGUGAGGGAGGAAGGCUCUUGGGUUGUAAACCUCUUUUCUCAGGGAAGAAGCUCUGACGGUACCUGAGGAAUCAGCCUCGGCUAACUCCGUGCCAGCAGCCGCGGUAAUACGGAGGAGGCAAGCGUUAUCCGGAAUUAUUGGGCGUAAAGCGUCCGCAGGUGGCGAUUCAAGUCUGCUGUCAAAGCACGGGGCUUAACUCCGUUAAGGCAGUGGAAACUGAAUGGCUAGAGUGCCGUAGGGGUAGAGGGAAUUCCCGGUGUAGCGG
Molecule: ribosomal RNA, 310 nt
Filed under: uncultured cyanobacterium
Lineage: Bacteria; Bacillati; Cyanobacteriota
Description: bacterial SSU rRNA
Rfam family: Bacterial small subunit ribosomal RNA
Source: RNAcentral